Molecule: ribosomal RNA, 379 nt
Filed under: uncultured bacterium
Lineage: Bacteria
Description: bacterial SSU rRNA
Rfam family: Bacterial small subunit ribosomal RNA
Source: RNAcentral
GACGAACGCUGGCGGCGUGCUUAACACAUGCAAGUCGAGCGGUAAGGCCCUUUGGGGGUACACGAGCGGCGAACGGGUGAGUAACACGUGAGUAAUCUGCCUUUGGCUUGGGGAUAACUUCGGGAAAUCGGGGCUAAUGCCUGAUGUUUACUGUCUGCUGCAUGGUGGGUGGUGGAAAGAUUUUUGGCCAGGGAUGAGCUCGCGGUCUAUCAGCUUGUUGGUGGGGUAAUGGCUACCAAGGCUUUGACGGGUAGCCGGCCUGAGGAGGGCGGCCGGCCACACUGGGACUGAGACACGGCCCAGACUCCUACGGGGAGGCAGCAGUGGGGAAUCUUGCGCAAUGGGCGAAAGCCUGACGCAGCGACGCCGCGUGAGGGAU